This is a long non-coding RNA of Corythoichthys intestinalis (scribbled pipefish), 3508 nucleotides long. RefSeq lists it as uncharacterized. The transcript has 3 exons. The record is from RefSeq and is a predicted model, not a curated record. Lineage: Eukaryota; Metazoa; Chordata; Actinopteri; Syngnathiformes; Syngnathidae.
GUUCUCCACAAGUGUAUGUAAACUUUUGACCACAACUGUAAGUUAAGGUGACAAUUAUUAUUGUGGUAACAUCGCCAAAGAAAUCGCCAGCUUCGUCAGGUUUUUAAUCAUUUAUUUCAGAACUUGUGCAACACAACACGCUGACUGUCCGCCGCAGUUGACGCCAACAACAACAUUGAAGGAGAAAGUAAAAUCUCUACCGCAUCUAUCUCACUGUCACGUCAGCCACGGGGUGUGUUCAGUAAUCCACUGCUGAGCAGACUGUACCUCUGUGGGUUCUUGAACAGGGGCCAUUGCCCGUCCCCAUGAUGGUAAAGCUGUUGCCUGGUCCUGUCGUUCUGGAAAGCGCCAUGCCUCCUUCUGACUUAAGCUCAAUAAAGAGGCACUUUUUGGUGGAGGUUACAAAGAUGCGAUCAUCGCUCGUCCAGCGAACUUCCAGGCAGCGGGAUGACCUUUUUAUCACGCACGAGUUCAUAGCUCUGUUGUAGAGUGAAAAUGGAGAAUCUGUGCAGGGAAGCGAAACAACCAUCACAUGUGUGCACUUCCUGCAGACACUUCAACAAAGCCUGAACUGUCCAAAAUCAUGAAGCCGAUGAUGCAGGUUCUUUAAGUAAUAGAUAGAUCUAGAUUUUUUUGGGAUGGUGCUGGUUCACCAUAAUUAUAAACAAUAAACUAAUAUAUUUGUAAAAUUGAAAAACAUGCAUUUUAUAAGCAAAAAGAAACUAAUCUUGUCAUUUGUGACAGGUGAUGCAAUUUGUAAAAUGACAUUUUUAGAAAUACAGGUUAUGAUUAGAUUACAAAAAAACAUUUUUUUUUUUUUGCUUUUGUUUUACUUUAUGAAACUAAAGCCUAAAUAAUAAAGUGGCUCUUGUAACAGUACUGUUGUUCCUGAAUAUUUAACACUUAAAGCUAUACGCAAACAUAGUAAGAUCUUUUUAAUGUAGUACAUGGCGGAAAACACUCAGGUGACUUGAAGUUCUUCUCUGACACUUUGCCAAUUUAGCCAACUUUCAAAGUUGUUUGAUAUGCAUGUGUGAUACAUCAUUGGAAAGCUUAAAAUCUCAUCUCAAUCUCAAAUUUUCUAGGGGAAGAACAUUUCUGAACAGGAGGGCAUUUAAAAAAAAAAUAAAAAAAAUUAAACAGCAAAACCCUAUCUGGAGGUGAGAUGCCAUGACUUUAAUGAGAUAUUAUCGCGUAUUUACCUUUUUUCGAUCCAAAAACUCCAUGUUGCAUGUAUCACUGAGUGUCAAGACACAGCUGUGAAUGGCCACAGCUGGAUUUUUGGGAGAUUUUAUGGGUGAAACACGGUAAUAUAACAAGGGUCGCGAUGCAGAAAUCGCAGACAUCAAGGAGUGGUUGAGAUUUUCUUUUUCAUGUAUUUACCUUUUUAAACUUUUUUCCAAUUUUUCUUUGUUUGGAUCGAUUAUUUAUCAUCUAACAUAUUGGAAAAAUGCGACAGAAACAAAAAAAAUACAAUUAAGCGGUAGUUAUGAGGCAAAUAUCCGUGAUGUAAUUUGUUUAAAAGUUUAAAAUAUGCGAGUGAAUAUUUUUUGAAUCAUUUUUUUGUUUUUCCAACGAAAUAUUAGACAUCAAAUAAGGAUUCUAAGCUAAAAAUGACAGACAUUUUGAAUAAUAAAUAUAAUUAAUUAGCUUUGUUUUAUGGCUGGGUUGAAACAAAAGCGGUUGCGCGAAGUCUGUAAACAGGGUUUUCAGGGUAAAACGGGCAAAUAACAAUAAACUAGGCCUGCACAAUAUAUCGUUUGAACAGCGCCAUCGCAAUAUGUGCACGCGCAAUUGUCCAAUCGCAGAACGUGCAAUAGGUUUUUUUUUUUGUUUUAAGACAUAAAGCCUGUUUUGCUUCAUAAAAGCAGCAAGUGUGCAGAGACGUCGCCUCCUGGAUCUGUUUUACAUACAUCAAUCUUCAUAAUUCACAGAUGAAGCCCCUUACCCUGGAGUAAACUGUACUAUAUGAAUACAGUGUGAGCCUGGUGAGUCAAGCAGUCUUCCCAAACAAAUCUAUUCAAGUCAUCUGGUGAAAAUUGUACUAAUUUUAAUAUGCGAUAUAUAUCGCAAAAUAUCGCAAACCCCUAAAAAGUUGCAAUGUAAGUUUUUUCCAAUAUUGUUCAGCCCUACAAUAAACAAACAAAUAAAAUUAAAAAUGGUUCGGGGGCUUAAUGCGCCAUGAAUCUGUUAAGGCAGCAUAAAGACAUGGUUCUAUCAAACACAAUAGUUGUUUUGGCUCAAAAUACAGCAAUUUCUUUUAAAGACGAGUGCAAGAGUAGAAACUGCUUUUUCAGUCUUGUCUGUGUUUUCCGCCAUAUAGAUAUUCAUACUUAUUAUUGACAAUAAUUGUCCCCUUGAAAACAUAUGAAUGAAUAAGAAGUGUCAUAAUUAAACCUAUUCCAGAAUUACAUCAACUCAUGCAUAAUUGAUUGAAAAUAAAUGUAACAUUCAUAGUAAGCCACUAUAGUGCACCAGCAACAAAGAAUUGUCCACAUAAAGAGAAGAAAUUAAUACUGUACCGUCCAAUUUCACAGAUAAACAUAUUGAGACGAGGAGCGCAAAGACAGCAAACGUUAUCCAAGCGUUCGACAUUCUUCCAACAAGAGGUGGACGUGGCCCUUGCAUUGCAAGCAGGGGACUUGUGAGUGUGACCCUAAGAAAGGAAGACUUCUUAACACUUUUUUUUCUUAGCCUGGCUUCAUUGAGAAAGUGGCCUCAUUCACUUCCUGUCCUAGAGAGAGAGAGGUUGGGACAAAUGAUGUGCAAGACAUUUAUGCUAAACGUGACACAGUCACAAUUUUUUGCAGCGAUCCAUCCCCCUAGUCAUUGAUUUUUUUUUUUAAGUCCGUUUGUGUAACGUUUGAAGACAGUUUCACAUAAGUGCAACAUAGUUUUUUUUCAGUUGUUCUUUGUUCUGGUUUGUAUGUUGUGAACAGAGUCACGCGAAAACUAGACCGCUAAUGAUCGCAGAGCCAAGGAAAUACACAUUUUGGAGAAAGAUGCUAAUUUUACGAAGCAGUUAAGCUUUGAUAGAAAGAGGCUGCAGCACAUCUCAAAGCCAGUCUACAUAGGGGUGACACUUGACAGGUCUCUCACCUACAAGGAACACAUCACAAAGACAAAAGCCAAAGUGGCAUCAAGGAACAGCAUUCUCAGGAAGCUAACCGGCACAAAUUAGAGUGGUGAUGACAAGACAAUACAUACAACAGCGUUGGCUUUAUGCUUCUCUGCAGCGGAGUAUGCAUCACCUGUCUGGUGUAGAUCAGCCCAUGCCACCAUGUUUGAUGCAGCACUAAACUUGGCUUGCCGUGCUGUCACUGGCUGCUUGAAGCCUACAAAGGUUGAUGACUUAUACCUACUUAGUGGGAUUGCUCCACCAAGCAUCCGGAGGACAGUUGCAUCCCAAAAGGAAAAACUGAGACAAGAAACUGACACCCGCCACCAACUCUACAAUCAUGAGCCAACAGUAAAAAGGCUAAAGUCAAGGCACAGCUUCCUGCACUCU